AUGAGGAGCGGCGAGACCCUCAACGAGCUUGCCAUGCGCAUGAACAGGAUCGCCAACAAGCUACGCACGCUCAGCGAGAACCUCAACGAGGUGAAGGUCAUGAAGAAGCUUCUCUGCAUUGUUCCGUCCAAGUAUACCCAAGUAGCUAUUGCCAUUGAACAUCUUCUUGAUCUUAAAACCAUGUCCAUGGAAGAGCUUGUGGGAAGGCUCAAAACGGCGGAGGACCGGAGUGACUUAGACGAGGGCGGCAGCAACUACGACCAGGGUGGUGGGAGUCGCCUGCUCCUCCCAGAGGAGGAGUGGCUUGCUCGUCACCGCAGUAGCUCCAUCAAGAAGAAGAGAAACUUCGACAUUCGCAAGGUCCGCUGCUAG
This 372-nucleotide ribosomal RNA is filed under the name Triticum aestivum (bread wheat). RNAcentral's name for it is "partial small subunit ribosomal RNA". Lineage: Eukaryota; Viridiplantae; Streptophyta; Magnoliopsida; Poales; Poaceae. The record is from RNAcentral.